This 724-nucleotide ribosomal RNA is filed under the name uncultured archaeon. RNAcentral's name for it is "bacterial SSU rRNA". It matches the Rfam family "Archaeal small subunit ribosomal RNA", at positions 200 to 921 of the family's 1478-position model. The record is from RNAcentral.
GCCCCGAGGCAUGGCCUGCGCCCGAUUAGGUGUUUGCGGGUACCCCAGCCCACCCAAAACGCCGCUCGUACGGGCACUGAGAGCUGUAGCCCGGAGAUGGGGACUGAGACAAGGCCCCCAGCCCCUACGGGGGGCAGCAGGCGCGAAACCUUCACAACUACACGAAACGUGUGAUGAGGGUACUCCGAGUGCGCCAUCCAUGUAUGUGCUUUUCUGCAGCGUAAAUAGUUGCAGGAAUAAGGGCUGGCCAAGACCGGUGCCCAGCCGCCGCGCGUACCACCGGCAGCCCUAGUGGUGGCCGCUUUUAUUGGGCCUAAAGCGUCCGUAGCCGGCCAGGCAAGUCUUUGGGUAAAUCCUACGUCUUAAGCGUGGGAAUUCUAAAGAUACUCCCUGUCUUGAGGCCGGGAGAGGCUGGAGGUACUCCUGGGGUAGGGGUAAAAUCCUAUAAUCCUGGGGGGACCACCGCUGGCGAAGGCAUCCAGCUGGAACGGCCCUGACGGUGAGGGACGAAACCCAGGGGAGCGAGCCGGAUUAGAUACCCGGGUAGUCCUGGGCGUAAAUGAUGUGGGCUUGGUGUGAGCGCAUCGACGAGGUGCGCUUGUGCCGUAGGGAAGCCGUUAAGCCCACCGCCUGGGGAGUACGGUCGCAAGGCUGAAACUUAAAGGAAUUGGCGGGGGAGCACUACAAGGGGUGGAGGCUGCGGUUUAAUUGGAUUCAACGCCGG